CUUCAUCGAGCCGAGUAAAAGUGGCUGGUCCGCGGAGCGGUCCUGACCGUAUGUCGCCAGAAGGGCCUGGGCUUC
This 75-nucleotide antisense RNA is filed under the name Streptomyces bingchenggensis BCW-1. RNAcentral's name for it is "ASpks TB sRNA". It matches the Rfam family "ASpks TB sRNA". Lineage: Bacteria; Bacillati; Actinomycetota; Actinomycetes; Kitasatosporales; Streptomycetaceae. The record is from Rfam by way of RNAcentral.